RNAcentral lists this transfer RNA (72 nucleotides) under Candidatus Cloacimonadota bacterium. RNAcentral's name for it is "tRNA-Lys". It matches the Rfam family "tRNA". From Rfam's summary of the family: Transfer RNA (tRNA) molecules are approximately 80 nucleotides in length. Their secondary structure includes four short double-helical elements and three loops (D, anti-codon, and T loops). Further hydrogen bonds mediate the characteristic L-shaped molecular structure. tRNAs have two regions of fundamental functional importance: the anti-codon, which is responsible for specific mRNA codon recognition, and the 3' end, to which the tRNAs corresponding amino acid is attached (by aminoacyl-tRNA synthetases). tRNAs cope with the degeneracy of the genetic code in two manners: having more than one tRNA (with a specific anti-codon) for a particular amino acid; and 'wobble' base-pairing, i.e. permitting non-standard base-pairing at the 3rd anti-codon position. The record is from RNAcentral. Lineage: Bacteria; Pseudomonadati; Candidatus Cloacimonadota. RNAcentral also lists the same sequence under 2 other names.
GGGCCGGUAGCUCAGUGGUAGAGCAGGGGCCUUUUAAGCCCAGGGUCGUGGGUUCGAUCCCCACCCGGCCCA